RNAcentral lists this ribosomal RNA (1146 nucleotides) under uncultured fungus. RNAcentral's name for it is "eukaryotic LSU rRNA". The stretch from base 516 to 1146 matches the Rfam family "Eukaryotic large subunit ribosomal RNA", at positions 1 to 649 of the family's 3401-position model. The record is from RNAcentral. Lineage: Eukaryota; Fungi.
UAGUCGUAACAAGGUUUCCGUAGGUGAACCUGCGGAAGGAUCAUUAAAGAGACGUUGCCCUUCGGGCUAUACCUCCCACCCUUUGUUUGUUUAUACCUUUGUUGCCUUGAAAGACCCGGCUUCGGUCCACCGUUUCCGGCUGGUCAGUGUCUGCCAGAGGACCUAAAACUCUGUUUGAUAAUAUUGUCUGAGUACUAUAUAAUAGUUAAAACUUUCGACAACGGAUCUCUUGGUUCUGGCAUCGAUGAAGAACGCAGCGAAAUGCGAUAAGUAAUGUGAAUUGCAUAAUUCAGUGAAUCAUCGAAUCUUUGAACGCACAUUGCGCCCUCUGGUAUUCCGGGGGGCAUGCCUGUUCGAGCGUCAUUACAACCCUCAAGCUUUGCUUGNNAUUGGACAUUGCCAGUUUCUGGCAGGUCUUAAAAUCAGUGGCGGUGCCCUUUGUCUUCAAGCGUAGUAAUUCUCUCGCUUGGGAGAUCCCAGUGGUUACUUGCCAAUACCCACCAAUUUUUUCAGGUUGACCUCGGAUCAGAGUAGGGAUACCCGCUGAUCUUAAGCAUAUCAAUAAGCGGAGGAAAAGAACCCAACAGGGAUUCCCUCAGUAGCGGCGAGUGAAGCGGUAACAGCUCAAAUUUGAAAUCUGGCAGCAAUGUCCGAGUUGUAAUUUGUAGAGGAUGUUUCGAGCAUGGUCUGGCCUAAGUUCCUUGGAACAGGACGUCAUAGAGGGUGAGAAUCCCGUAUGCGGUCAGGGGCCUACGCUCAUGUGAAACUCCUUCGACGAGUCGAGUUGUUUGGGAAUGCAGCUCAAAAUGGGUGGUAAAUUUCAUCUAAAGCUAAAUAUUGGCCAGAGACCGAUAGCGCACAAGUAGAGUGAUCGAAAGAUGAAAAGCACUUUGGAAAGAGAGUUAAACAGUACGUGAAAUUGUUGAAAGGGAAGCGCUUGCAACCAGACUUGCACGCAGCUGAUCAUCCGCUGUUCUCAGUGGUGCACUCGGUUGCGUUCAGGCCAGCAUCGGUUUUGGUGGUGGGAUAAAGGCCUUAGGAAAGUAGCUGCUUUCGGGCAGUGUUAUAGCCUAGGGUGCAAUGCCGCCUACUGGGACCGAGGACCGCGCUUCGGCUAGGAUGCUGGCGUAAUGGUUGUAAGCGACC